Molecule: non-coding RNA, 28 nt
Filed under: Mus musculus (house mouse)
Lineage: Eukaryota; Metazoa; Chordata; Mammalia; Rodentia; Muridae
Source: RNAcentral
UCCAUAUGAAGGUGGAAGGAGGGAAGCA